RNAcentral lists this ribosomal RNA (253 nucleotides) under uncultured bacterium. RNAcentral describes it as "partial 16S ribosomal RNA". It matches the Rfam family "Bacterial small subunit ribosomal RNA", at positions 524 to 776 of the family's 1533-position model. The record is from RNAcentral.
GACGAACCGAGCGAACGUUGUUCGGAAUCACUGGGCUUAAAGGGCGCGUAGGCGGAUCAUCAAGUCCGGGGUGAAAUCUUUCGGCUCAACCGGAAAAGUGCCUUGGAUACUGAUGGUCUCGAGGGAGGUAGGGGCAGAUGGAACUUCCGGUGGAGCGGUGAAAUGCGUUGAUAUCGGAAGGAACUCCGGUGGCGAAAGCGAUCUGCUGGACCUCUUCUGACGCUGAGGCGCGAAAGCUAGGGGAGCAAACGGG